ACGGGAGGCAGCAGUGGGGAAUAUUGGGCAAUGGGCGAAAGCCUGACCCAGCAACGCCGCGUGAAGGAAGAAGGUCCUCGGAUUGUAAACUUCUUUUAUCAGGGACGAAGAAAGUGACGGUACCUGAUGAAUAAGCCACGGCUAACUACGUGCCAGCAGCCGCGGUAAUACGUAGGUGGCGAGCGUUAUCCGGAUUUACUGGGUGUAAAGGGCGCGUAGGCGGGGAUGCAAGUCAGAUGUGAAAUCCAUGGGCUUAACUCAUGAACUGCAUUUGAAACUGUAUCUCUUGAGUGUCGGAGAGGUAGAUGGAAUUCCUAGUGUAGCGGUGAAAUGCGUAGAUAUUAGGAGGAACACCAGUGGCGAAGGCGAUCUACUGGACGAUAACUGACGCUGAGGCGCGAAAGCGUGGGGAGC
RNAcentral lists this ribosomal RNA (414 nucleotides) under uncultured Oscillospiraceae bacterium. Its description in RNAcentral is "bacterial SSU rRNA". It matches the Rfam family "Bacterial small subunit ribosomal RNA", at positions 341 to 769 of the family's 1533-position model. Lineage: Bacteria; Bacillati; Bacillota; Clostridia; Eubacteriales; Oscillospiraceae. The record is from RNAcentral.